Molecule: ribosomal RNA, 486 nt
Filed under: uncultured bacterium
Lineage: Bacteria
Description: partial 16S ribosomal RNA
Rfam family: Bacterial small subunit ribosomal RNA
Source: RNAcentral
AUAGAACGCUGGCGGCAUGCCUUACACAUGCAAGUCGAACGGCAGCACGGGUGCUUGCACCUGGUGGCGAGUGGCGAACGGGUGAGUAAUACAUCGGAACAUGUCCUGUAGUGGGGGAUAGCCCGGCGAAAGCCGGAUUAAUACCGCAUACGAUCUACGGAUGAAAGCGGGGGACCUUCGGGCCUCGCGCUAUAGGGUUGGCCGAUGGCUGAUUAGCUAGUUGGUGGGGUAAAGGCCUACCAAGGCGACGAUCAGUAGCUGGUCUGAGAGGACGACCAGCCACACUGGGACUGAGACACGGCCCAGACUCCUACGGGAGGCAGCAGUGGGGAAUUUUGGACAAUGGGCGAAAGCCUGAUCCAGCAAUGCCGCGUGUGUGAAGAAGGCCUUCGGGUUGUAAAGCACUUUUGUCCGGAAAGAAAUCCUUGGCCCUAAUACGGUCGGGGGAUGACGGUACCGGAAGAAUAAGCACCGGCUAACUACGUG